Molecule: long non-coding RNA, 466 nt
Organism: Peromyscus eremicus (cactus mouse)
Lineage: Eukaryota; Metazoa; Chordata; Mammalia; Rodentia; Cricetidae
Exons: 4
Source: RefSeq, a predicted model, not a curated record
GAAAGAGGAGGAGAAAGGAGAGGAGGAAAAGGAGGAAGAAGAGAAGGAGAAGACCAGUCACUUCACAGAGUCAUUUAAGGUUUAGAGUUUAUCUAAAGUACCCAGGUGGAAGGGGUCCAUGUCAACCUGGGAUAAGAGAAAAGGGCUGACUUCUCCUACCAGCGUUGCUCAUUCACAGUUCAGAUGACACUGACAAAGGAACGGAGAACAUUAGAUUCAUGGCCUCAUUUUUUUUUUCCUGAUUGCUGUUACAUGCUUUAAAAAGCACAAAUCUGAGCAGGGUGGUGGUGGCGCAUGCCUUUAAUCCCAGCACUCGGAAGGCAGAACCAGGCAGAUCUCUGUGAGUUCCAGGCCAGCGUGGUCUACAUGAGCGAGAUCCAGGACGGGCACCAAAGCUACACAGAGAAACCCUGUCUCAAAACCCUCUCCCUCCCCCUCAAAAAAGUGCAAAUCUUUUACAAUUCAA